AUGAGAACAGAUCCUAAGCAUUGGGCCAGAGCUUUUUUCCCUCUGGGUUCAAUGUGUGACUCAGUGGACAAUAACUUAUGUGAGUCUUUCAACAAUUCAAUUAUUGAGGCCAGAUUAUAUCCUUGCAUAUCAAUGCUGGAAAAGGUCAAACAAAAUAUCAUGGCAGGUCUACCUUGCUGCCAUGCUAUCAGUGCUAUAUAUAAGAGUGACAGAAGAAUUGAAGAGUUCAUUGACAAGUGA
Molecule: ribosomal RNA, 240 nt
Filed under: Triticum aestivum (bread wheat)
Lineage: Eukaryota; Viridiplantae; Streptophyta; Magnoliopsida; Poales; Poaceae
Description: partial small subunit ribosomal RNA
Source: RNAcentral